Molecule: ribosomal RNA, 253 nt
Filed under: uncultured bacterium
Lineage: Bacteria
Description: partial 16S ribosomal RNA
Rfam family: Bacterial small subunit ribosomal RNA
Source: RNAcentral
UACGUAGGUGGCAAGCGUUGUCCGGAAUUAUUGGGCGUAAAGGGCGCGCAGGUGGUGUGCUAAGUCUGCCGUGAAAUCUCCCGGCUCAACUGGGAGGGUGCGGUGGAGACUGGUACGCUUGAGGUCCCUAGAGGUCGGUGGAAUUCCCGGUGUAGUGGUGAAAUGCGUAGAUAUCGGGAGGAACACCUGUGGCGAAGGCGACUUCCUGGCCUGUUCUUGACGCUGAGGCGCGAAAGCUAGGGGAGCAAACGGG